Molecule: ribosomal RNA, 510 nt
Filed under: uncultured bacterium
Lineage: Bacteria
Description: bacterial SSU rRNA
Rfam family: Bacterial small subunit ribosomal RNA
Source: RNAcentral
GAUCCUGGCUUAGGAUGAACGCUAGCGGCAGGCUUAACACAUGCAAGUCGAGGGGCAUCGGGAGUAGCAAUACUGCCGGCGACCGGCGCAAGGGUGCGUAACGCGUGAGCAACAUGCCCGUAUCAGGGGGAUAAUCCAUGGAAACGUGGUCUAAUACCCCAUAGUAAUUAUGUAAGGCAUCUUAUAUAAUUUAAAGCUUUUGGUGGAUACGGAUUGGCUCGCGUGACAUUAGCUGGAUGGUAAGGUAACGGCUUACCAUGGCUACGAUGUCUAGGGGUUCUGAGAGGAAGGUCCCCCCACACUGGAACUGAGACACGGUCCAGACUCCUACGGGAGGCAGCAGUGAGGAAUAUUGGACAAUGGAUGGAAAUCUGAUCCAGCCAUGCCGCGUGCAAGGAAGACGGCCCUAUGGGUUGUAAACUGCUUUUGUAUGGGAGCAAUAAGGGCUACGUGUAGUCCGAUGAGAGUACCAUACGAAUAAGCACCGGCUAACUCCGUGCCAGCCGCUGC